RNAcentral lists this long non-coding RNA (328 nucleotides) under Medicago truncatula (barrel medic). Its description in RNAcentral is "long non-coding RNA (MTRU_LNC005954)". The record is from RNAcentral. Lineage: Eukaryota; Viridiplantae; Streptophyta; Magnoliopsida; Fabales; Fabaceae.
GACAAUAUGUUAAACUCAGUCCUUCUAUGAUCAGACGCACUACCAGAAGGUCCAACUCGAUCCGGCCAAGCAGCUAGAAUAUUCAAACCAGGUGCAAUAACAUCUGGUUUCAAAAUCUCAGGCGAUUCAGGGUUAGGCCCUCUCGCUGAGAAUGACGCCACCACAGGAGCUGGCCUAACCCCAAGCCUAGUACCUUUAAAAACAAUAGUCGCGGUUGGCAAUGACCGCGACUUUGCUCCAUCGGCGAUAUAACUCCUAAUUACAUCACCGCCUAUAGCCCCAACCGCCGUCGCAGGCAACACGUGGCUAUCGGCUACUAACCCUUCAC